AUUGAACGCUGGCGGCAUGCUUUACACAUGCAAGUCGAACGGCAGCGCGGGCUUCGGCCUGGCGGCGAGUGGCGGACGGGUGAGUAAUACAUCGGAACGUGCCCAGUAGUGGGGGAUAGCUCGGCGAAAGCCGGAUUAAUACCGCAUACGACCUGAGGGUGAAAGCGGGGGAUCUUCGGACCUCGCGCUAUUGGAGCGGCCGAUGGCGGAUUAGCUAGUUGGUGGGGUAAAGGCCUACCAAGGCGACGAUCUGUAGCUGGUCUGAGAGGACGACCAGCCACACUGGAACUGAGACACGGCCCAGACUCCUACGGGAGGCAGCAGUGGGGAAUUUUGGACAAUGGGCGAAAGCCUGAUCCAGCAAUGCCGCGUGUGUGAUGAAGGCCUUCGGGUUGUAAAGCACUUUUAGCGGGAACGAAAAGGACUGUGCCAAUACCACGGUUCGAUGACGGUACCCGCAGAAUAAGCACCGGCUAACUACGUG
RNAcentral lists this ribosomal RNA (484 nucleotides) under uncultured bacterium. Its description in RNAcentral is "partial 16S ribosomal RNA". It matches the Rfam family "Bacterial small subunit ribosomal RNA", at positions 29 to 507 of the family's 1533-position model. The record is from RNAcentral.